UUGGAGGGCAAGUCUGGUGCCAGCAGCCGCGGUAAUUCCAGCUCCAAUAGCGUAUAUUAAAGUUGUUGCAGUUAAAAAGCUCGUAGUUGAACUUCGGGAUCAAGGGAUCGGUCAUGCCUUGGUAUGUACUGGUCUUAUUGGUUCUCACCUUCUAAAGAACCAUAAUGUCAUUCAUUUGAUGUUAUGGGGAAUUAGGACUGUUACCUUAGAAAAAUUGAGUGUUUAAAGCAGGCUUACGCUUGAAUACAUUAGCAUGGAAUAAUGAAAUAGGACAUCCGAUUCUAUUUUGUUGGUUUCUAGGAUCGAUGUAAUGAUUAAUAGGGAUAGGUUGGGGG
RNAcentral lists this ribosomal RNA (335 nucleotides) under Glomus sp. Its description in RNAcentral is "SSU rRNA". It matches the Rfam family "Eukaryotic small subunit ribosomal RNA", at positions 548 to 888 of the family's 1831-position model. Lineage: Eukaryota; Fungi; Glomeromycota; Glomeromycetes; Glomerales; Glomeraceae. The record is from RNAcentral.